Molecule: transfer RNA, 90 nt
Filed under: Candidatus Ancaeobacter aquaticus
Lineage: Bacteria; Pseudomonadati; Candidatus Auribacterota; Candidatus Ancaeobacteria; Candidatus Ancaeobacterales; Candidatus Ancaeobacteraceae
Description: tRNA-Ser
Rfam family: tRNA
About the family: Transfer RNA (tRNA) molecules are approximately 80 nucleotides in length. Their secondary structure includes four short double-helical elements and three loops (D, anti-codon, and T loops). Further hydrogen bonds mediate the characteristic L-shaped molecular structure. tRNAs have two regions of fundamental functional importance: the anti-codon, which is responsible for specific mRNA codon recognition, and the 3' end, to which the tRNAs corresponding amino acid is attached (by aminoacyl-tRNA synthetases). tRNAs cope with the degeneracy of the genetic code in two manners: having more than one tRNA (with a specific anti-codon) for a particular amino acid; and 'wobble' base-pairing, i.e. permitting non-standard base-pairing at the 3rd anti-codon position.
Source: RNAcentral
GGAGAGGUCGCAUAGCCUGGCUUAGUGCGCACGCUUGGAAAGCGUGUGAUCAGAAAUGAUCCGGGGGUUCGAAUCCCCCCCUCUCCGCCA